CUACGGGAGGCACCAGUGGGGAAUAUUGGACAAUGGGCGAAAGCCUGAUCCAGCAAUGCCGCGUGAGUGAAGAAGGCCUUCGGGUUGUAAAACUCUUUCAGUAGGGAAGAUAAUGACGGUACCUACAGAAGAAGCACCGGCUAACUUCGUGCCAGCAGCCGCGGUAAUACGAAGGGUGCUAGCGUUGUUCGGAAUUAUUGGGCGUAAAGAGCGCGUAGGCGGCCUAGUAAGUUGGAAGUGAAAUCCCAGAGCUCAACUCUGGAACUGCUUUCAAAACUGCUAAGCUAGAGUUUGAUAGAGGAUGAUGGAAUUCCUAGUGUAGAGGUGAAAUUCGUAGAUAUUAGGAGGAACACCGGUGGCGAAGGCGAUCAUCUGGGUCAAAACUGACGCUGUGGCGCGAAAGCGUGGGGAGCAAACAGGAUUAGAUACCCCCGUAGUC
Molecule: ribosomal RNA, 439 nt
Filed under: uncultured bacterium
Lineage: Bacteria
Description: partial 16S ribosomal RNA
Rfam family: Bacterial small subunit ribosomal RNA
Source: RNAcentral